RNAcentral lists this long non-coding RNA (1127 nucleotides) under Gossypium raimondii (Peruvian cotton). RNAcentral's name for it is "long non-coding RNA (GRAI_LNC001688)". Lineage: Eukaryota; Viridiplantae; Streptophyta; Magnoliopsida; Malvales; Malvaceae. The record is from RNAcentral.
UUUCCAGGCUAUGAUGUUAAUAGGACUAUAGUUUAUACUACUGCAUUCACACUUUAUAUAUUUUAUAUAAAUAUAAUGCUUCAUUGAAUUAUAUGAAUAUCAACUAUAAAAAUAAUCACUCAUGUUGCAGGUAAUAUUUACAAUCAACUAAAAAGGUGUCAAACGAGGAUAAUCUAUGACUACAUAGCAUAUACCAUGACAAUAACUGACAUAUAAUGAAUUCGCACAAUCAUACAAAACACCAUAUAGGUCUCCAUGCGGCAUUACUAUAUAAGCCUGAAUGCACAAGAGAGCAAGUAUCCUUCUUCUCUUCCAUCGCCUCCCUCCCGUUGAAACGUUCUAUCAACAUAAAUAAAAGGACAACUUUAGUCUUUAUUUUUUUAUCUUCAAUCUUUAUAUUCAAUGAUUUUCAACAUACAAAUUUUAAUUAUUAUUAAAUUCAAUUAUAAGUUGCAAUAUAUUCUAGUAUAAUUAUAUGUUAAAUAUAUUGUAUUUUCAGUUAAUAUAUAUGAUUUUUUUUAAAAGUUGAAGCGCAAUCAUAUUAUAAUUAUAAACAAUAUAUUCGAAUAACUAUAACCGAAAUUAAUCAUUAUAAAGCACAGACAAACUAAUAACUAGAAUAAAAAUUAAGAACCCACAUGUAGUUUAUACAGAGUAAGAUUUGAACUUAAAAUUUUAAAGUUUUUAAGACUUUAUAUUUAUCAUUAAACUAAGGCCUCAUUGACUAUCAAUUUACUUUUUUAAACCCAUAAUUUGAUUACAAUUAAAAAAAUUUAUUGUGUAAAAUUACUUGAAACUCUUUAUAAAAUUUGAGUCAGUCAUUAGCGUAUCAACAAGGGACUUUAAUCAUUAACUUUUUAUGCUCUCGAUAAUACAAGAGUGUAUUGAACUUUUCAUAUAAAAAAUUUAAAAAUAAUUGUUGAAUUUUAUACUAUAUUAUAUUUGUAGUUGACGAAGGAUUGUCCAAGGAAGCAAACUUUAGAGUUUAAAUUCGUGACGUAGAGUAGAGAUCAUUAACUCGGAGUUUUUCAUUUUCAGUACAGCUACUGAAAGGAUCCCUAACCCUUUCCAUAAAAAGUAAGCUCAAAAACUCACCUGGAACACUACCCCCUCUCCUUCAAUCAUUG